Molecule: long non-coding RNA, 691 nt
Organism: Monomorium pharaonis (pharaoh ant)
Lineage: Eukaryota; Metazoa; Arthropoda; Insecta; Hymenoptera; Formicidae
Exons: 2
Source: RefSeq, a predicted model, not a curated record
ACGGAUAUCAGGAUGGAUUUUACGCGACGCAACCACAAGUUAGAUAACUGUAUUGAUACAUCGAUGAGAGGCGGCCGUGCGAUGAACGCGCGAUGUGUUAUUAAUGAGCAAACAUUUCUCUCUCUCUCUCACACACACACACACACACACACACACACACACACACACACACACACACACACACACACGCACACACACACACACACACACGAUGUCGGCGCGAUUCGCGUGAUAUAAAGGAAGAGGAAGAGGAUGGCUUGGUGCCAGAGCCACUUGCGGAAGAUGAGUAGUACGUACAAGAGAAGCACACUCUCAGGAUAAGUGUGCGCGCUCCCCUGACAUACAUCGACACACUCGUUAAAAUAACGACAUAAUGGCUAAUUCAACGAUAAUCAGCGCGAACUGUAGCGUUCGAAUUAGCAUCGAAGUACCACCUAUCUCAUAUAUAUAUAUAUAUAUAUAUAUAAGCCGUCAUGGAAAAACUUCAACCGUUCAGUCAAACUGUGUAUUACGAGAGAGGACUGUAAAGGAAAAAAUACCAUAUAUUAUAAACUAUAGAUAUUACAAGAAAAAUUCCUUUUUGCACAAAUGUGAGCGCUUAUACUUAGAAUUUGGAAAUGUAAACAAUUUAAAGUUAAUUGAAACCCUUAUGUAGUAGUCAUUUUAAUUAAUUGAAGACUAGAAGGAAAAA